GUUCCUACGGGGGGCAGCAGUGGGGAAUAUUGCACAAUGGGGGAAACCCUGAUGCAGCGACGCCGCGUGAGUGAAGAAGUAUUUCGGUAUGUAAAGCUCUAUCAGCAGGGAAGAAAUAGCGACCUUUGGGUCGCCAGACGGUACCUGAUUAAGAAGCCCCGGCUAACUACGUGCCAGCAGCCGCGGUAAUACGUAGGGAGCAAGCGUUAUCCGGAUUUACUGGGUGUAAAGGGCGUGUAGGCGGGCUUGUAAGUCAGAAGUGAAAUCUGGGGGCUUAACCCCCAAACUGCUUUUGAAACUGCGGG
This 305-nucleotide ribosomal RNA is filed under the name uncultured bacterium. RNAcentral describes it as "bacterial SSU rRNA". It matches the Rfam family "Bacterial small subunit ribosomal RNA", at positions 335 to 639 of the family's 1533-position model. The record is from RNAcentral.